RNAcentral lists this transfer RNA (80 nucleotides) under Armillaria borealis. Its description in RNAcentral is "tRNA-His". It matches the Rfam family "tRNA". Rfam says of the family: Transfer RNA (tRNA) molecules are approximately 80 nucleotides in length. Their secondary structure includes four short double-helical elements and three loops (D, anti-codon, and T loops). Further hydrogen bonds mediate the characteristic L-shaped molecular structure. tRNAs have two regions of fundamental functional importance: the anti-codon, which is responsible for specific mRNA codon recognition, and the 3' end, to which the tRNAs corresponding amino acid is attached (by aminoacyl-tRNA synthetases). tRNAs cope with the degeneracy of the genetic code in two manners: having more than one tRNA (with a specific anti-codon) for a particular amino acid; and 'wobble' base-pairing, i.e. permitting non-standard base-pairing at the 3rd anti-codon position. Lineage: Eukaryota; Fungi; Basidiomycota; Agaricomycetes; Agaricales; Physalacriaceae. The record is from RNAcentral. RNAcentral also lists the same sequence under 1 other name.
GUUGGUAUCGAUUAGGGGUUAAAUCACUUCGUUGUGGGAUCUGCUCCGAAGAGCCGCUGGUUCGAUUCCAGCUACCGACA